Molecule: ribosomal RNA, 1372 nt
Filed under: uncultured bacterium
Lineage: Bacteria
Description: bacterial SSU rRNA
Rfam family: Bacterial small subunit ribosomal RNA
Source: RNAcentral
GAUGAACGCUGGCGGCGUGCCUAAUACAUGCAAGUCGAGCGAACGGACGAGAAGCUUGCUUCUCUGAUGUUAGCGGCGGACGGGUGAGUAACACGUGGAUAACCUACCUAUAAGACUGGGAUAACUUCGGGAAACCGGAGCUAAUACCGGAUAAUAUUUUGAACCGCAUGGUUCAAAAGUGAAAGACGGUCUUGCUGUCACUUAUAGAUGGAUCCGCGCUGCAUUAGCUAGUUGGUAAGGUAACGGCUUACCAAGGCAACGAUGCAUAGCCGACCUGAGAGGGUGAUCGGCCACACUGGAACUGAGACACGGUCCAGACCCCUACGGGAGGCAGCAGUAGGGAAUCUUCCGCAAUGGGCGAAAGCCUGACGGAGCAACGCCGCGUGAGUGAUGAAGGUCUUCGGAUCGUAAAACUCUGUUAUUAGGGAAGAACAUAUGUGUAAGUAACUGUGCACAUCUUGACGGUACCUAAUCAGAAAGCCACGGCUAACUACGUGCCAGCAGCCGCGGUAAUACGUAGGUGGCAAGCGUUAUCCGGAAUUAUUGGGCGUAAAGCGCGCGUAGGCGGUUUUUUAAGUCUGAUGUGAAAGCCCACGGCUCAACCGUGGAGGGUCAUUGGAAACUGGAAAACUUGAGUGCAGAAGAGGAAAGUGGAAUUCCAUGUGUAGCGGUGAAAUGCGCAGAGAUAUGGAGGAACACCAGUGGCGAAGGCGACUUUCUGGUCUGUAACUGACGCUGAUGUGCGAAAGCGUGGGGAUCAAACAGGAUUAGAUACCCUGGUAGUCCACGCCGUAAACGAUGAGUGCUAAGUGUUAGGGGGUUUCCGCCCCUUAGUGCUGCAGCUAACGCAUUAAGCACUCCGCCUGGGGAGUACGACCGCAAGGUUGAAACUCAAAGGAAUUGACGGGGACCCGCACAAGCGGUGGAGCAUGUGGUUUAAUUCGAAGCAACGCGAAGAACCUUACCAAAUCUUGACAUCCUUUGACGACUCUAGAGAUAGAGCCUUCCCCUUCGGGGGACAAAGUGACAGGUGGUGCAUGGUUGUCGUCAGCUCGUGUCGUGAGAUGUUGGGUUAAGUCCCGCAACGAGCGCAACCCUUAAGCUUAGUUGCCAUCAUUAAGUUGGGCACUCUAAGUUGACUGCCGGUGACAAACCGGAGGAAGGUGGGGAUGACGUCAAAUCAUCAUGCCCCUUAUGAUUUGGGCUACACACGUGCUACAAUGGACAAUACAAAGGGCAGCGAAACCGCGAGGUCAAGCAAAUCCCAUAAAGUUGUUCUCAGUUCGGAUUGUAGUCUGCAACUCGACUACAUGAAGCUGGAAUCGCUAGUAAUCGUAGAUCAGCAUGCUACGGUGAAUACGUUCCCGGGUCU